AUCCAGUAGAAGGACGAGUCCCAAAUAGGACGAAAUGCGCAUCCUGGAU
RNAcentral lists this non-coding RNA (49 nucleotides) under Trichobilharzia regenti. The record is from RNAcentral. Lineage: Eukaryota; Metazoa; Platyhelminthes; Trematoda; Strigeidida; Schistosomatidae.